GGCCAUCUGAAAGGGGCAAAUGCAUCUGGUCCGUCUGUUUCACCUGGUACAGUAAAUUUUGGUUCCCACUUUUACCUACAGCCGUCCGAUUCAGUAAUGUUUUCCUCACCCACCGCUGCUCGUUGAGGGUGUAUGACAUAUGGGUCCGUGUUUGAGUGGGACCACUUAUUUGCUGCGGUGGGCAUUCGGAGUCGCGUCGCUCAGAAAAUGGAAGGCAGUGAAAACCUAACCGACCGCGAGCCUCUCCUCCCAAUCCCGUGCCUCCUCUCCUCUCCCCCAAUCCCGGCCUCCUCUCUUCCUUCUCAAUCAGCCGUCGCCCGGCGGCGACCGGAGGCGACGAGCGUGGCCGGAGACGGGCCGGCGCGAGCGGAUCUGCGGAGCGGUGACCCGAGGCGACGGGCACGGCCGGAGGGGGACCGGCACGGGGCGGCCACCUCAGGUGAAGAACCGGUGGGAGGGAUCGAGAUCCGCAGCGGCCCACUGUUGGCUCCUCUCCCAGGUCAGCUCCAUCAAGGUCCGGAUCUCCCCCUUCUCUCUCUCCUGCGGCUGAGGAGGUCGGAUCUUGGACCGUGGGUGGAGGAGCAGGAGCAGGCGGCUCUGGUCGGGGCGCUAUGUGAAGGAGAUGCUGGGGGCGGCGCUGGCCAAGAGGACGAGCUGCAGCCAUGGGAAGGCUCGAUCCCUGCUCCACUUCCUCUCUCCCUCCUUGUCUUUCAGUUCGUUUACUGCCAAUUUAGAUGAACAGCCAUGGGAAGGCUCGAUCCCUGCUCCACUUCCUCUCUCCCUCCUUGUCUUUCAGUUCGUUUACUGCCAGCUUGACUUUCUUUUCACCAUACCCAAUCUCUAAACUACUCAAUUCUUACAUGGAUUAAUUUUUCUGGUUAAUAGGUACUUGGUAAAUGGAACACAGUUAACCAAGACAGCAGGCUUGCUCCAUUGGCAAAAAUGGUUAUGUGGCUAGAAAAGGACAGCUGGCGCUGGCAGGCGGCGGCGCGGAGAGUGGUGGCGGGAGCGGAGGCGAUGCGGCGAGCGCUGACGAAGGCUGGCACACCCACGUUUCCCUCUCCUCUUCCUCUCUGCUCAGACCGUGGUCCUCGACGCCUGCAUCUGGGCUGCUAGCAGCAGGUCUGGUUGGGGAAGCACAAGGAGAGAAACAACCAGAGGUUGCCGCUGUUAUUCCUGUAGACGGUUUGCUACAGCACUGCCGGCAGUCCAGGUAGUUUGGGUGAGGCCAGUUCAGGUCUGAUCCAUUGACUGCUUCAUGCCUUGGGAGUUGGGACUUGAUCAUGCUCUAGACCAAAGCUCUCCAUCAAGCUUUGUGCUCAGCUGUGCCCAAGCUCAGCUAUAUCAACACUACAUUUAAAGAAGAAAGUGCGGAAGAAACAAGCCAUUAGGAACUAGAAUAAACAAUUUGGCAAGGUUGUGAAAUUGAUUGACCCAAGGAGUAAAAACUCUCUGUAUGCAGUUCAGGUUGUUCUUGACUUAUACUUGUACGCGAGGAGCCAAUUUGAUGACCGAACUAAGGCCAUUCAAUAAGUGUAAACCUUUUGUUAAACCAUCAGCAGAAUAACUAUUUUCAGAUCUACCUCCAAAUGAAGAACAUGUCCCCACUGUAGUUCUGGAUGUGAGUGAUAAUUUGUACACUCAGAUUGGAAGACUACCACCUCCUCAAAAUGCAGCUAAGGUGUUUCUCAAUUACUGUAAGCUGCAUCUUUCACUUUCUUGAACAGUUUGGCCGGCUGAUUGUUUUUGUAUGAAUAUCUUGAGGAUUCCCAAGAGGUUUAAUUUAAGGAUGUGGUGACUUGAUUUUUUAGUCGCACAUAAUCUUUACUUUAGUCUUUAUCAUAACCUAUCGGAAAUAUGGACUAUAAGGUGAGGUUUUAACCUAUCCAAGUUCAUAGAGUGUUUAAAAUAGAUGCUAAGAUGUCAUGUUUACUAUUAAGGUGUGUGGGUCAAAUUCUGAAACUUUUACUAAAUAUUGGCUUCGUAGACAUGAGUUUGUGUCUGUUUACUAUUUGUGUAGCUCAAUAUUUAGUCUAUGGAAUUGUACUAUAACAGUCUUUCUUUGUCAGAUCGGGUUGCUAUCUUAGAGAAAAGGGGACAGUUUUGUGACGUCUUGGCUAAGGUUUUGAAGGAUCCACUGCCAAUGAAUUGGAUAUCAGAUGCUUGCCAUAUAAGAGAUGCAAUGCGGACAUAGAACUGUACAUGGGAGCUUUAUGCGGAGAAGCAAAUGUGGAUAUCAAGUUCUCAAUGUGAAUGUGUUUAUGUCUUUGCACAUCUGGAGCAGCUUUGAGUUAGCAUGUUUUGCCUGCUUUGAACUGGAGCAACACUCGUGCACUGGUCAUCUAGAGAACCGCAAGGACCCUAGCUGAUGUAGUAUCGACUUUUGAUAUUAUUGGUUACUCUGUUUUGGCACUACUGUAAUUUUGUUCUAAAACCUUCCAAAGUUACAUGGGUGAUUUAUUUUAAGCAAGUGCUCAAUGUCAUGGAUCCAUAUGGCCCUGAAAAAAGAAUGCUUGUGAUACCGAUAUUGCAAAAACAAUAUUCAUUGACAGUAGUAAAACAAUAGAAACCUUAUGGUUCAAAUAUUGUUUUGAUUUCGCCAUUUGCGCCAUUGUUGUCGGUUUUUCUUAUAGAAUCUUUCUUCGCCUUUUAUUUAUCUUUAUCAUCACAAUGCGAAAUGAAGCACCCAAGCAUUCUUAAAAGAAGUUAAAUGUCCAAACAAGAGGAUUUCUCUAUGAACUUUUCCUCUUUGUAAAGAUUCGGAUCGUGCUGGUGCUUGAUGCAGGUGGUUCAGAUGAUUAAUGGGUUUUUCUUCUGUAUGCAGAGAAGGAAAAGGAUAAAGGACAUGCUCUGGCCUUAUAAAAUCUGGUAUCCAACCAAGGUAUUUUACCUAUCCCGAUAAGAAGCCCGACCUGAAAAAUUGGUAUUGUCUGUUACCUCAAUUGUUAAAAAUUGAGCCAGCGUACGAAGACUAUAGCACCAGAUUUGAUCUUUGACCACCCUAUUUUUAUAUUCUACUUUGUAACCGUAUUGUUCAUAAUUGUUUGGCUGAGAUUGGUAAUAUUGUGGCUAGGCAGGGCUAUACAUAUGAAUGAAGCUGGCUCAUGUGAGGUUUCAGUUCAGGGCCUAGGCUAGGAUCCCUGCUUCUAAGAAUGUGGGUUAAUUUCCAGGCACCUUUGCUUUGAUACGGACCUGAUCGUGACCUACAAAUAGAGACUCCAAUCUAAAGGAAUCCGUUCAUUUGUUCGUUCAUGUCGAUUUUGAACUAGAAGAAAACUGCUCUAAUCUAUUUGAAGUCAUGAUUUAACCUCUGUAAAUGUUUCCUCACCUUUGGUAGUCAGUCUCUCUGUACAUUUUUUCCAUAUCCUUUUGAUUCUCUUUGUUUCCUGGUAGAUUUUUUUAUUUGAAAUUAGUAACCUCUGGCGCAUGGCCCAUUAGCACAUGAUAAUUACUUCCAUUUUGGAAACAGUUUAAACAACAGAGCUCCUGCCAUAUAAACUUGGAGCGACAACAAAACAAGGGUCCUCAUGGUGGUGACGACUAACGAUGAAGGAGGAAGGGGGCUAGGUGGUGGAGGCGAGGACGGUGGUUCUGGUCGACUGUGCCUGCCCGUCUCCGCGUGGUCUGAGUGGCACUACUACUGUGAUAUGCAAGCACCUCAGGUGUGUCUACAUCCCUCUGUAUUUCCAAUGAUGCAUGCCUUAUUGUCUACGUCACUCAAAGUAGAUUUAUGGAGACGCAUGUGUUUUCCCUGAGAUAAAGGAUGAGUCAGGUUGCAAGCGGGGCGGGAUAUCCCGCUACCCCGCUGGGCCGCCCCGCAAAAUACGCCCGCGAAACUCCGCUGGGUCGACCGCUUCGUUUUGGAUGCGCCUUGUGUGUUGGGAUGAGGCCUAAUGAAUGGAUAACUUCCUAAUAACCCUAAAGAUCAACUUCCCAGAAUGAUAUCCAAUGCUCGGAAGGAAGCUCAUCCUAGCAUGCAAGGGCUCGGAAAGGGCACCUAGGGCAAACUCGAGGAUUGGGCCACGGACGCGACGAGUUGGUGAAGGAAGCAGGGUUGUGGGGUGGCUUUGCUGGAGCGGUGCCCUUAAAGCGCACCACCAUGAGCCACCCAUUAACGGGGUAGGCUCCGACCUGAAGGAGGCGAGAGCAGUUGUGGCCAGAGAGGAGGCGGACGACAGCGUGGCCAUGGAGGCCACUGACACAAGCUUAGGGAGGAGUACGGAAGCUUUGGGGAUGGCGGCACGAUGGCGUCGGCAGCCCCAACUCCUACAUGACAAACAGGGGUGGGAAUAGGGCGACGAAGGUAGGCCGGAUCUGGCUUCAGUGGUUGGAGAGGACGUCAGGGAAAGGAGAUCAGACCACUAAUUAAGUAGCAAUCAUGGUGUUGUCAUGUUGUAGCGACUGAACUUAGAAGCAAGUUGUGUGAUAUUGGUUCAGGUUCAGGUCCAAGGUCCAGGUCCCUCCCUCUGGUCUAAAAACUUAUAGUUACCUAAAUCUAUCUAUACCUAAUAAUAAAGGGAGAAGCGUUUCCGUGGUUC
Lolium perenne is the source of this 4538-nucleotide non-coding RNA. NCBI's taxonomy places the organism in Eukaryota, Viridiplantae, Streptophyta, Magnoliopsida, Poales, Poaceae. The record is from RefSeq and is a predicted model, not a curated record.